CUAAAUGUGAGCUGGGUGGACAUCUCAUUAGGCAUCCUGGACAUUGGACUAUGAAAGAGGCAUAUGAAUCACCUGAGAAUCUUGUUAAAUCCAGAUUCUGAUUCAGCAUCUUGUGGCAGAGCCAGAGAUUCUGGAUUUCCAGAGCUGACGUUCACCAGACUUCUUUGA
Molecule: long non-coding RNA, 168 nt
Filed under: Mustela putorius furo (domestic ferret)
Lineage: Eukaryota; Metazoa; Chordata; Mammalia; Carnivora; Mustelidae
Description: lncRNA (ENSMPUG00000026722.1)
Source: RNAcentral